Molecule: ribosomal RNA, 465 nt
Filed under: uncultured bacterium
Lineage: Bacteria
Description: partial 16S ribosomal RNA
Rfam family: Bacterial small subunit ribosomal RNA
Source: RNAcentral
CUACGGGGUGCAGCAGUGGGGAAUAUUGCACAAUGGGCGCAAGCCUGAUGCAGCCAUGCCGCGUGUAUGAAGAAGGCCUUCGGGUUGUAAAGUACUUUCAGCGGGGAGGAAGGGAGUAAAGUUAAUACCUUUGCUCAUUGACGUUACCCGCAGAAGAAGCACCGGCUAACUCCGUGCCAGCAGCCGCGGUAACUACGGAGGGUGCAAGCGUUAAUCGGAAUUACUGGGCGUAAAGCGCACGCAGGCGGUUUGUUAAGUCAGAUGUGAAAUCCCCGGGCUCAACCUGGGAACUGCAUCUGAUACUGGCAAGCUUGAGUCUCGUAGAGGGGGGUAGAAUUCCAGGUGUAGCGGUGAAAUGCGUAGAGAUCUGGAGGAAUACCGGUGGCGAAGGCGGCCCCCUGGACGAAGACUGACGCUCAGGUACGAAAGCGUGGGGAGCAAACAGGAUUAGAUACCCGUGUAGUC